UACGUAGGGGGCAAGCGUUGUCCGGAUUUAUUGGGCGUAAAGAGCGUGUAGGCGGCUAGGUAGGUCCGUUGUGAAAACUCGAGGCUCAACCUCGAGCUGUCGAUGGAAACCAUCUGGCUAGAGUCCGGAAGAGGAGAGUGGAAUUCCUGGUGUAGCGGUGAAAUGCGCAGAUAUCAGGAGGAACACCGGUGGCGAAGGCGGGUCUCUGGGCCGAUACUGACGCUGAGGAGCGAAAGCGUGGGGAGCGAACAGG
RNAcentral lists this ribosomal RNA (253 nucleotides) under uncultured bacterium. RNAcentral describes it as "partial 16S ribosomal RNA". It matches the Rfam family "Bacterial small subunit ribosomal RNA", at positions 524 to 776 of the family's 1533-position model. The record is from RNAcentral.